Molecule: non-coding RNA, 78 nt
Filed under: Geobacteraceae bacterium
Lineage: Bacteria; Pseudomonadati; Thermodesulfobacteriota; Desulfuromonadia; Geobacterales; Geobacteraceae
Description: c-di-GMP sequence
Rfam family: c-di-GMP-I riboswitch aptamer
About the family: GEMM was predicted in a large-scale screen for bacterial structured RNA regulatory elements. Genes associated with GEMM are involved in a diverse array of functions, including chemotaxis regulation, signal transduction, secretion and chitin.
Source: RNAcentral
UUGCCGAAAUGGUAAAACCCGGGUAACCGGGUGACACAAAGCUACCAUCCAAUUGUAUUGGAUAGAGGGGCUGCCGAA